CCUACGGGCGGCAGCAGUGAGGAAUAUUGGUCAAUGGGCGUAAGCCUGAACCAGCCAAGUCGCGUGAGGGAUGAAGGUUCUAUGGAUCGUAAACCUCUUUUAUAAGGGAAUAAAGUGUGGGACGUGUCCUGUUUUGUAUGUACCUUAUGAAUAAGGAUCGGCUAACUCCGUGCCAGCAGCCGCGGUAUACGGAGGAUCCGAGCGUUUUCCGGAUUUUUUGGGUUUUAAGGGUGCGUAGGCUGGCAUUUAAUGCAGCGGUGAAAGUCUGUGGCUCAACCAUCGAAUUGCCGUUGAAACUGGGAGGCUUGAGUAUGUUUGAGGCAGGAGGAAUGCGUGGUGUAGCGGUGAAAUGCUUAGAUAUCACGCAGAACCCCGAUUGCGAAGGCAGCCUGCCAAGCCAUGACUGACGCUGAUGCACGAAAGCGUGGGGAUCAAACAGGAUUAGAUACCCUUGUAGUC
This 459-nucleotide ribosomal RNA is filed under the name uncultured bacterium. RNAcentral describes it as "partial 16S ribosomal RNA". It matches the Rfam family "Bacterial small subunit ribosomal RNA", at positions 338 to 795 of the family's 1533-position model. The record is from RNAcentral.